This 406-nucleotide ribosomal RNA is filed under the name uncultured bacterium. Its description in RNAcentral is "partial 16S ribosomal RNA". It matches the Rfam family "Bacterial small subunit ribosomal RNA", at positions 30 to 526 of the family's 1533-position model. The record is from RNAcentral.
AUUGAACGCUGGCGGCAGGCCUAACACAUGCAAGUCGAACGAGUUGCGGCCGGGUGAGUCAUGUCUGGGAAACUGCCUGGUGGAGGGGGAUAACUACUGGAAACGGUAGCUAAUACCGCAUACCAUAAGAUGUGCCCAGAUGGGAUUAGCUAGUUGGUGGGGUAACGGCUCACCAAGGCGACGAUCCCUAGCUGGUCUGAACGGAUGACCAGCCACACUGGAACUGAGAUACGGUGCAGAUUCGUACGGGAGGCAGAGGUGGGAAAUAUUGCAGAAUGGGCGAAAGCCUGAUGCAGCCCUGCCGAGUGUAUGAAGAAGGCCUUCGGGUUGUAAAGUACUUUCAGCGGGGAGGCGUUACCCGCAGAAGAAGCACCGGCUAACUCCGGGCCAGCAGCGGCGGUAAUUC